RNAcentral lists this ribosomal RNA (484 nucleotides) under uncultured bacterium. RNAcentral describes it as "partial 16S ribosomal RNA". It matches the Rfam family "Bacterial small subunit ribosomal RNA", at positions 30 to 507 of the family's 1533-position model. The record is from RNAcentral.
AUUGAACGCUGGCGGCAUGCCUAACACAUGCAAGUCGAACGGCAGCGCGGGGGCAACCCUGGCGGCGAGUGGCGGACGGGUGAGGAAUGCAUAGGAAUCUGCCCGGUUGUGGGGGAUAACGUAGGGAAACUUACGCUAAUACCGCAUACGACCUUCGGGUGAAAGUGGGGGACCUUCGGUCCUCACGCGAUCGGAUGAGCCUAUGCCCGAUUAGCUAGUUGGCGGGGUAAGAGCCCACCAAGGCGACGAUCGGUAGCUGGUCUGAGAGGAUGAUCAGCCACACUGGGACUGAGACACGGCCCAGACUCCUACGGGAGGCAGCAGUGGGGAAUAUUGGACAAUGGGCGCAAGCCUGAUCCAGCAAUGCCGCGUGUGUGAAGAAGGCCUUCGGGUUGUAAAGCACUUUUGUUCGGGAAGAAAUCCGUGUGGUUAAUACCCGUACGGGAUGACGGUACCGAAAGAAUAAGCACCGGCUAACUUCGUG